GACGAACGCUGGCGGCGUGCUUAACACAUGCAAGUCGAACGGGCCUUGUCCCCUUUUUUUUUGGGGGUGGGGUUAGCGGCGAACGGGUGAGUAACACGUGAGUAACCUGCCCCUCACUUCUGGAUAACCGCUUGAAAGGGUGGCUAAUACGGGGUGUUCUGGCCUGCUCGCAUGGGUGGGUUUGGAAAGAUUCGACCGGUUUUGGUUGUUUUGGUGGGGGAUGGGCUCGCGGCCUAUCAGCUUGUUGGUGGGGUGAUGGCCUGCCAAGGCUUUGACGGGUAGCCGGCCUGAGAGGGUGGGCGGUCACACUGGGACUGAGACACGGCCCAGACUCCUACGGGAGGCAGCAGUGGGGAAUAUUGCACAAGGGGCGCAAGCCUGAUGCAGCGACGCCGCGUGAGGGAUGGAGGCCUUCGGGUUGUGAACCUCUUUCGCCAGUGAAGAAGGUCCUGCUCUUUGUGGUGGGGUUGACGGUAGCUGGGUUAAUGAAGCGCCGGCUAACUACGUG
This 508-nucleotide ribosomal RNA is filed under the name uncultured bacterium. RNAcentral describes it as "partial 16S ribosomal RNA". It matches the Rfam family "Bacterial small subunit ribosomal RNA", at positions 28 to 507 of the family's 1533-position model. The record is from RNAcentral.